RNAcentral lists this unclassified non-coding RNA (203 nucleotides) under Hevea brasiliensis (rubber tree). Lineage: Eukaryota; Viridiplantae; Streptophyta; Magnoliopsida; Malpighiales; Euphorbiaceae. The record is from RNAcentral.
UGGGGCCCAACUGUCUUCCUCGAUAGCGGGCAUUUUGACGGUGACCGCCUUUGCCGCCAGCGGUCCGACCAAGCUUCGACUGACGGCAGCCGCCUCGCUCGAGCGAUGAAGAUCGCAAAUUCUGCCAUCACGUUCGUUUUCAACCAGCAUCAGGCGCGCCUGCGGUAGCACUUCCAUGAAUGCGUUCGCCGAUCGAACGCCAC